RNAcentral lists this ribosomal RNA (253 nucleotides) under uncultured bacterium. RNAcentral describes it as "partial 16S ribosomal RNA". It matches the Rfam family "Bacterial small subunit ribosomal RNA", at positions 524 to 776 of the family's 1533-position model. The record is from RNAcentral.
UACGUAGGGUGCAAGCGUUGUCCGGAAUUAUUGGGCGUAAAGAGCUCGUAGGCGGUCUGUCGCGUCGGCUGUGAAAACCCGGAGCUCAACUCCGGGCCUGCAGUCGAUACGGGCAGGCUAGAGUUCGGCAGGGGAGACUGGAAUUCCUGGUGUAGCGGUGAAAUGCGCAGAUAUCAGGAGGAACACCGGUGGCGAAGGCGGGUCUCUGGGCCGAUACUGACACUGAGGAGCGAAAGCGUGGGGAGCGAACAGG